GAAGAGCAGGAAGCAGGUAACAGUAGCUUUGUAAACACGGACCCUAGGCUCCGUGCUAGGACCUGAGGCUGCGCGGGUUUCACGGGGAAGUUAAGAUGACAACACGGUCUUGCUUCUCCUUUCCAGUCACUCUCAAAGAGUCCACGGAAGGAAGCCUCACCCGUGUAUCUUGUUCUCUGUUGAAGGUCCCGUUGAAGCCCCUCUAUUCCUAAGGAAGAAAAGAAAACCCGUUCUCCAGGAGAUGAUCUGAAAGAGCCAAGCUUUGGGUUCUAUAUGUCCUGAAGCCAUCAUUUGAGUGACCCUUUUGCCCUUGUACGUUAAGAAUUCUCCAGAAGGAAACUGAACAUUAUGGAUUAGGUUUGAAGAUAGGGCCGGAGAGAAGGCUCAUCAGUUAAGGUUAUCUGCUACUCUUGCAGAGGACGGAGUUCAGUUCCCAGCACCCACAAUGCCUGAGACUCUUGCUUUGGGAAUCCAAGCCAUCUGCCGGCACCUACAUUCCUGUGCAUGUACCACCCCUGCACCCCGAGACACACACACCUACGCAUAAUUAAAAGGAAAUCUUUAAAAAAC
RNAcentral lists this long non-coding RNA (570 nucleotides) under Mus pahari (shrew mouse). Its description in RNAcentral is "lncRNA (MGP_PahariEiJ_G0005391.1)". Lineage: Eukaryota; Metazoa; Chordata; Mammalia; Rodentia; Muridae. The record is from RNAcentral.